GGUUACAUUGAGCAGAGAUCGGGUCUCUGCACUCCAGCCUGGCAACAGAUUAAGACUCCAUACCCCCCUGCCAAAAAAAAAAUACCUGGCUUAUUUUGCAAGUACAGAUGAAGCUCAGGUUCCCCAAGGAAAUAUUGACCAGGUUGCUGUUGUGGCCAUCAAUGUUCUGUUUUUUGUGGCUCUAUUUAUCUUUGCCCUUUUUGAAACCAUCAUUACUCCAUUAACAAUGGAUAUGUAUGCCUGGACUCAAGAACAAGCUGUGUUAUAUAAUGGCAUAAUACUUGCUGCUCUUGGGGUUGAAGCAGUUGUUAUUUUCUUAGGAGUUAAGUUACUUUCCAAAAAAUUUGCACAAUAAUUCAGUCCCUAAUACCACAUUUGGGGAAAUUAUUAUUGGUCUUUGGAAGUCUCCAAUGGAGGAUGACAAUGAAAGACCAACUGGUUGCUCGAUUGAACAAGCCUGGUGCCUCUACACCCCGGUGAUUCAUCUGGCCCAGUUCCUUACAUCAGUUGUGCUAAUGGGAUUAGGCUAUCCAGCCUGCAAUCUUAUGUCCUAUACUCUGUAUUCAAAAAUUCUAGGACCAAAACCUCAGGGUGUAUACAUGGGCUGGUUAACAGCAUCUGGAAGUGGAGCCCGGAUUCUUGGGCCUAUGUUCAUCAGCCAAGUGUAUGCUCACUGGGGACCACGAUGGGCAUUCAGCCUGGUGUGUGGAAUAAUAGUGCUCACCAUCACCCUCCUGGGAGUGGUUUACAAAAGACUCAUUGCUCUUUCUG
This 771-nucleotide small RNA is filed under the name Pongo abelii (Sumatran orangutan). Its description in RNAcentral is "processed transcript". Lineage: Eukaryota; Metazoa; Chordata; Mammalia; Primates; Hominidae. The record is from RNAcentral.